CAGCAGCAAGAGCUGCAUUUGGGGCUGGGAGUCUGGGAGUCCUCCGUGAAGGAGCGGACUCAGAGGGGAAGGCCUGGCUUUGCGAGGGAGUAGGGAGCUGGGGUCAGACAGCUACUGUGCUAACUCUGCCUCUCCCUCUGCAGAUCCCACUCACUCCACUCCAGCCACCAUCAGAGCCACCAGCCUCCCCCUCCCUGAGCUCCACUGAGGGACCGGCUGCCCCACUGCCUCUGGGGCACUGUGCUGGGCAGAGAGAGGUAUGUUGGGAGCAGCAGCUGAGGCCAGGAGGCCCAGGCCCCCCAGCCGCCCCACCCCCAGCGCUGGAUGCCCUAUCCCCAUUCCUUCGGAAGAAGGCCCAGAUUCUGGAGGUGCUGAGAGCCCUGGAAGAGACUGACCCCUUGCUUCUCUGCUCACCUGCCACCCCCUGGCAGCCUCCAGGCCAGGGGCCUGGCUCCCCAGAGCCCAUCAACGGCGAGCUGUGUGGCCCGCCUCAGCCUGAACCCUCACCCUGGGCGCCCUGCCUGCUGCUAGGCCCUGGCAACCUGGGAGGCCUGCUGCACUGGGAGCGCCUCUUGGGGGGUCUGAGAGGGGAAGAGGACACUGGGCGGCCCUGGGGUCCUAGCAG
This 625-nucleotide long non-coding RNA is filed under the name Pan troglodytes (chimpanzee). RNAcentral describes it as "long non-coding RNA NONPTRT003474". Lineage: Eukaryota; Metazoa; Chordata; Mammalia; Primates; Hominidae. The record is from RNAcentral.